RNAcentral lists this ribosomal RNA (433 nucleotides) under uncultured organism. Its description in RNAcentral is "bacterial SSU rRNA". It matches the Rfam family "Bacterial small subunit ribosomal RNA", at positions 29 to 507 of the family's 1533-position model. The record is from RNAcentral.
AACGAACGCUGGCGGCAGGCCUAACACAUGCAAGUCGAACGCCCUAGCAAUAGGGAGUGGCAGACGGGUGAGUAACGCGUGGGAACCUUCCCAGUGGUGCGGAAUAACUCACCGAAAGGUGAGCUAAUACCGCAUAAGCCCCUCGGGGGAAAGAUUUAUCGCCAUUGGAUGGGCCCGCGUCGGAUUAGCUAGUUGGUGAGGUAACGGCUCACCAAGGCUACGAUCCGUAGCUGGUCUGAGAGGAUGAUCAGCCACACUGGGACUGAGACACGGCCCAGACUCCUACGGGAGGCAGCAGUGGGGAAUAUUGGACAAUGGGCGCAAGCCUGAUCCAGCCAUGCCGCGUGAGUGACGAAGGCCUUAGGGUUGUAAAGCUCUUUUGCCGGGGACGAUAAUGACGGUACCCGGAGAAUAAGUCCCGGCUAACUUCGUG